CUCGGGCGGUCGGUCCGCGCAGCUGCUUUCUGUUGCCCGCGGCUGAGAUCCGGACGUCGACCCGCUGCCGGGGGCGACGUGGAUGUAUUGAUAUACGUGUGUUUGUGAUACUCCGGGUUCUUUGCAUUGAUCCGCGUUAUUAUUCUGCGUAUUGUUCUGGUUAUCAUUGGGAGUUUACCUUUUACGUCGGGGUGAAUACAUGUGGAUUUAUCAUCAUCUCACAUGCGAUAAAGAUAAAAGAGGCCGACUGUUUGUCCUCCCGAUGGAGCUUCUCUGGGUGGUGCUGCUGCUGGAGGUGGUGCUCAUGUCCUCUGCUGCCAGAAGGGGAGGGACUCCUGACGGGACGUCAACAACGGCCUCUCCGGGAGGUGAUCGUCGGCCCUGACCUCGCUUGUCUCAGCUCGCCACAGAAGACUUUGAAAAUCAUUCAACCGCGAGUGGCAUUUCUCCCGUUUCCCACAAAGUGUCCGUGUCCGCACAAAGACGUGUGUGUGCAGUGGGUUGGAGGUGACGCGUGAACACCGCACUACACGGGCCUCCUUCACGUCGGGCGGCUCAGCGCACUUAUGAUCCGGAGGUAAUCCGUCUCUUGUGUGGGCUCCAUCGUCACACAGGGACACAACAGGCCUUUUCUUCCACGCGUAAUUAACAGAGGUACUUACGCGCUGCUUUCUGGGAUUUAAGCGUUGUGUUGUCGCAGCUUUAGGCUGCGGUGGUG
Molecule: long non-coding RNA, 718 nt
Organism: Gasterosteus aculeatus aculeatus (three-spined stickleback)
Lineage: Eukaryota; Metazoa; Chordata; Actinopteri; Perciformes; Gasterosteidae
Source: Ensembl